Molecule: ribosomal RNA, 308 nt
Filed under: uncultured Aerococcus sp.
Lineage: Bacteria; Bacillati; Bacillota; Bacilli; Lactobacillales; Aerococcaceae
Description: bacterial SSU rRNA
Rfam family: Bacterial small subunit ribosomal RNA
Source: RNAcentral
AGCAGUAGGGAAUCUUCCACAAUGGGCGAAAGCCUGACGGAGCAAUGCCGCGUGAGUGAAGAAGGCCUUCGGGUCGUAAAACUCUGUUAUAAGAGAAGAACAAAUUGUAGAGUAACUGCUACAGUCUUGACGGUAUCUUAUCAGAAAGCCACGGCUAACUACGUGCCAGCAGCCGCGGUAAUACGUAGGUGGCAAGCGUUGUCCGGAUUUAUUGGGCGUAAAGGGAGCGCAGGUGGUUUCUUAAGUCUGAUGUGAAAGCCCACGGCUUAACCGUGGAGGGUCAUUGGAAACUGGGAAACNUGAGACAG